CAGAUCAUUGGGUUGAUAGGCCGGAACUGGAAGCCCUGUAAGGGGUGGAGGUGACCGGUACUAAUAGGCCGAGGGCUUAUUAAC
Molecule: ribosomal RNA, 84 nt
Filed under: Nocardia stercoris
Lineage: Bacteria; Bacillati; Actinomycetota; Actinomycetes; Mycobacteriales; Nocardiaceae
Description: Bacterial large subunit ribosomal RNA
Rfam family: Bacterial large subunit ribosomal RNA
Source: Rfam by way of RNAcentral